CUGGUCAUCUUAGUAGACGUCCUGUGAUAGCAGAGAGUGGAUGACGUCAAGUCCUCAUUGGCCUUACGUGUUGGGCUACACACGUGCUACAAUGGCAGUGACAAUGCUAAACAGCGAUGUUAAGCUAAACNAAAAACCUGCCUCAGUUCGGAUUGCACUCUGCAACUCGAGUGCAUGAAGCUGAAUGCUAGUAAUGCUCAUUCAGGHGGAGHGGUGAAUACGUUCCCGGGUCUU
This 234-nucleotide ribosomal RNA is filed under the name unidentified marine eubacterium. Its description in RNAcentral is "partial 16S ribosomal RNA". It matches the Rfam family "Bacterial small subunit ribosomal RNA", at positions 1132 to 1382 of the family's 1533-position model. The record is from RNAcentral.